CCUACGGGUGGCUGCAGUGGGGAAUAUUGGACAAUGGGCGAAAGCCUGAUCCAGCCAUGCCGCGUGUGUGAAGAAGGCCUUCGGGUUGUAAAGCACUUUCAGUGGGGAAGAAAGCCUUGGGGCUAAUACCCUCGAGGAAGGACAUCACCCACAGAAGAAGCACCGGCUAACUCCGUGCCAGCAGCCGCGGUAAUACGGAGGGUGCGAGCGUUAAUCGGAAUUACUGGGCGUAAAGCGCGCGUAGGCGGUCUGAUAAGCCGGUUGUGAAAGCCCCGGGCUCAACCUGGGAACGGCAUCCGGAACUGUCAGGCUAGAGUGCAGGAGAGGAAGGUAGAAUUCCCGGUGUAGCGGUGAAAUGCGUAGAGAUCGAGAGGAAUACCAGUGGCGAAGGCGGCCUUCUGGACUGACACUGACGCUGAGGUGCGAAAGCGUGGGUAGCAAACAGGAUUAGAUACCCUAGUAGUC
Molecule: ribosomal RNA, 465 nt
Filed under: Vreelandella stevensii
Lineage: Bacteria; Pseudomonadati; Pseudomonadota; Gammaproteobacteria; Oceanospirillales; Halomonadaceae
Description: partial 16S ribosomal RNA
Rfam family: Bacterial small subunit ribosomal RNA
Source: RNAcentral